AUGACGAUCGGCGUCUGCUACGGCGUGGUGGCCAACAACCUCCCGCCGGCGAACGACGUGGUGCAGCUCUACAAGUCCAAGGGCCUCACCGGCAUGCGCAUCUACUUCGCCGACGCCAAAGCCCUCUCCGCGCUCCGCGGCUCCGGCAUCGCCCUCAUCCUCGACGUCGGCGGCACCGACGUGCUGGCCAGCCUCGCCGCCAAUGCCUCCAACGCGGCGAACUGGGUCCGGGACAACGUGCGGCCCUACUACCCGGCCGUGAACAUCAAGUACAUCGCCGCCGGCAACGAGGUCCUGGGCGGCGACACGCGGAACAUCGUCCCGGCCAUGCGGAACCUCAACUCGGCCCUCGCCGGCGCCGGCCUCGGCCUCGGCGCCAUCGAGGUGUCCACCUCGAUCCGGUUCGACGCGGUGACCAACACCUUCCCGCCGUCCAACGGCGUGUUCGCGCAGGCCUACAUGACGGACGUGGCCCGGCUGCUGGCGAGCACCGGCGCGCCGCUGCUGACCAACGUGUAUCCCUACUUCGCCUACAAGGACAACCCGCGGGACAUCCAGCUGAACUACGCGACGUUCCGGCCGGGCACCACCGUGCGUGACCAGAACAACGGGCUGACCUACACGUGCCUGUUCGACGCCAUGGUGGACGCCGUGGUGGCGGCGCUGGAGCGGGCCGGGGCGCCCGGGGUGAGGGUGGUGGUGUCGGAGAGCGGGUGGCCGUCGGCGAGCGGGUUCGCGGCGACGGCGGACAACGCGAGGGCGUACAACCAGGGGCUGAUCGACCACGUUGGCGGGGGCACGCCCAAGAGGCCCGGCUUGCUGGAGACGUACAUCUUCGCCAUGUUCAACGAGAACUUCAAGACCGGGGAGCUCAUCGAGAAGCACUUCGGGCUGUUCAACCCGGACAAGUCGCCGGCGUACCCCAUCCGGUUCCAGUAG
Molecule: ribosomal RNA, 939 nt
Filed under: Triticum aestivum (bread wheat)
Lineage: Eukaryota; Viridiplantae; Streptophyta; Magnoliopsida; Poales; Poaceae
Description: partial small subunit ribosomal RNA
Source: RNAcentral